RNAcentral lists this unclassified non-coding RNA (336 nucleotides) under soil metagenome. RNAcentral's name for it is "partial contains 5.8S ribosomal RNA, internal transcribed spacer 2, and large subunit ribosomal RNA". The stretch from base 1 to 120 matches the Rfam family "5.8S ribosomal RNA", at positions 35 to 154 of the family's 154-position model. The record is from RNAcentral.
GAUGAAGAACGUAGCGAAAUGCGAUAAGUAGUGUGAAUUGCAGAAUUCAGUGAAUCAUCGAAUCUUUGAACGCACAUUGCGCCCCUUGGUAUUCCAUGGGGCAUGCCUGUUCGAGCGUCAUUUGUACCUUCAAGCUUUGCUUGGUGUUGGGUGUUUGUCUCGCCUUUGCGUGUAGACUCGCCUUAAAAUAAUUGGCAGCCGGCGUAUUGAUUUCGGAGCGCAGUACAUCUCGCGCUUUGCACUCAUGACGACAGCGUCCAAAAGUACAUUUUACACUCUUGACCUCGGAUCAGGUAGGGAUACCCGCUGAACUUAAGCAUAUCAAUAAGCGGAGGA